AUGUUAUACACACACCAGAGAUAUUACACACACACCAGAGAUAUUAUACACAAACCAGAGAUAUUAUACACACACCAGAGAUAUUAUACACACACCAGAGAUAUUAUACACACACUAGAGAUAUUAUACACACACACCAGAGACAUUACACACACACCAGAGAUAUUAUACACCCAGGAGAGAUAUUAUACACACAGGAGAGAUAUUAUACACACAGGAGAGAUUUUAUAUACACACCAGAGAUAUUAUACACAAACCAGAGAUAUUAUACACACACCAGAGAUAUUAUAUACACAGGAGAGAUAUUACACACACACCAGAGAUAUUACACACACACCAGAGAUAUUAUAUAUACAGGAGAGAUAUUACACACACACCAGAGAUAUUAUACACACAGGAGAGAUAUUACACACUCACCAGAGAUAUUACACACAGACUCACCAGAGAUAUUAUACACUCACCAGAUAUAUUACACACAGACUCACCAGAGAUAUUAUACACACACCAGAGAUAUUACACACACACCAGAGAUAUUACACACUCACCAGAGAUGCACACUCACCAGAGAUAUUACACACUCACCAGAGAUAUUACACACUCACCAGAGAUAUUAUACACACACCAGAGAUAUUACACACACACCAGAGAUAUUACACACUCACCAGAGAUAUUACACACUCACCAGAGAUAUUAUACACACACCAGAGAUAUUACACACACACCAGAGAUAUUACACACUCACCAGAGGUAUUACACACUCACCAGAGAUAUUAUACACACAUCAGAAAUAUUACACACUCACCAGAGAUAUUAUACACACACCAGAGAUAUUACACACUCACCAGAGAUAUUAUACACACACCAGAGAUAUUACACACUCACCAGAGAUAUUACACACUCACCAGAGAUAUUACACACUCACCAGAGAUAUUACACACUCACCAGAGAUAUUAUACACACACCAGAUAUAUUACACACACCAGAGAUAUUACACACUCGCCAGAGAUAUUACACACACACCAGAGAUAUUAUACACACACCAGAGAUAUUACACACACACCAGAGAUAUGA
RNAcentral lists this long non-coding RNA (1071 nucleotides) under Oncorhynchus mykiss (rainbow trout). Its description in RNAcentral is "lncRNA (ENSOMYG00000049829.1)". The record is from RNAcentral. Lineage: Eukaryota; Metazoa; Chordata; Actinopteri; Salmoniformes; Salmonidae.